Molecule: non-coding RNA, 106 nt
Organism: Acanthosepion pharaonis
Lineage: Eukaryota; Metazoa; Mollusca; Cephalopoda; Sepiida; Sepiidae
Source: the annotation of a GenBank genome assembly
UACAACCAUAUCACAUUGAAACAUUGGUUCCCGUACGAUCACCGAAGUUAAAUAAUGUCGAGCUUGUUUAGUACGUAGAUGGGUGAUUGCUUGGUAAUUUAGGGGG